UGGGAUAUAGCCAAGUGGUAAGGCAGUAGUUUUUGGUACUAAUAUCAAAGGUUCGAAUCCUUUUAUCCCAG
This 71-nucleotide transfer RNA is filed under the name Cyanidiaceae sp. MX-AZ01. RNAcentral describes it as "tRNA-Gln". It matches the Rfam family "tRNA". From Rfam's summary of the family: Transfer RNA (tRNA) molecules are approximately 80 nucleotides in length. Lineage: Eukaryota; Rhodophyta; Bangiophyceae; Cyanidiales; Cyanidiaceae. The record is from RNAcentral.